RNAcentral lists this ribosomal RNA (492 nucleotides) under uncultured bacterium. RNAcentral's name for it is "SSU rRNA". It matches the Rfam family "Bacterial small subunit ribosomal RNA", at positions 26 to 524 of the family's 1533-position model. The record is from RNAcentral.
AGGAUUAACGCUGGCGGCGUGCAUGAAACAUGCAAGUCGAGCGCGGUGUGAUGCGGGGUAACCCAAUUCACAUCUAGCGGCGAACGGGUGAGUAACACGUGAGCAACCUACCUUUGAGUUGGGGAUAGCCCUGGGAAACCAGGAUUAAUACCCGAUGUGGUCACAACAGGACAUCCUGAUGUGAGUAAAGGCGCAAGCCGCUCAAUGACGGGCUCGCGGCCUAUUAGCUUGUUGGUGGGGUAACGGCCUACCAAGGCGAUGAUGGGUAGCUGGUCUGAGAGGACGAUCAGCCACACUGGGACUGAGACACGGCCCAGACUCCUACGGGAGGCAGCAGUUAGGAAUUUUCCGCAAUGGGCGAAAGCCUGACGGAGCAACGCCGCGCGAGUGAUGAAGACCUUAGGGUUGUAAAGCUCUGUCGGAGGGGAAGAACACAAUGACGGUACCCUCCAAGAAACGCCCGGCUAACUACGUGCCAGCAGCCGCGGUAAU